Molecule: ribosomal RNA, 249 nt
Filed under: uncultured Sediminibacterium sp.
Lineage: Bacteria; Pseudomonadati; Bacteroidota; Chitinophagia; Chitinophagales; Chitinophagaceae
Description: partial 16S ribosomal RNA
Rfam family: Bacterial small subunit ribosomal RNA
Source: RNAcentral
UAAGGAAUAUUGGUCAAUGGACGCAAGUCUGAACCAGCUAUGCCGCGUGAAGGAUUAAGGUCCUCUGGAUUGUAAACUUCUUUUAUCUGGGACGAAAAAAGGUCUUUCUAGAUCACUUGACGGUACCAGAUGAAUAAGCACCGGCUAACUCCGUGCCAGCAGCCGCGGUAAUACGGAGGGUGCAAGCGUUAUCCGGAUUCACUGGGUUUAAAGGGUGCGUAGGCGGGCAGGUAAGUCAGUGGUGAAAUC